This 379-nucleotide unclassified non-coding RNA is filed under the name uncultured Oligoflexales bacterium. Its description in RNAcentral is "contains 16S-23S intergenic spacer region". Lineage: Bacteria; Pseudomonadati; Bdellovibrionota; Oligoflexia; Oligoflexales. The record is from RNAcentral.
UCCGUGUUAACCACGGCAGUCUCUUUAGAGUGCCCAACUUAAUGCUGGCAACUAAAGACAAGGGUUGCGCUCGUUGCGGGACUUAACCCAACAUGUCACCACACGAGCUGACGACAGCCAUGCAGCACCUGUCACCCGGCAGUGUUGCCACUGAAACUGCGUUUCCGCAGCGGUCCGGGGAUGUCAAACCCAGGUAAGGUAUUGCGCGUUGCUUCGAAUUAAACCACAUGAUCCACCGCUUGUGCGGGCCCCCGUCAAUUCCUUUGAGUUUUAGUCUUGCGACCGUACUUCCCAGGCGGGGUACUUAUUGCGUUAGCUCCGGCUCGGCAGGGGUCAAGACCCACCAAGCCUAGUACCCAUCGUUUACGGCGUGGACUAC